RNAcentral lists this long non-coding RNA (537 nucleotides) under Cricetulus griseus (Chinese hamster). Its description in RNAcentral is "lncRNA (ENSCGRG00000024600.1)". The record is from RNAcentral. Lineage: Eukaryota; Metazoa; Chordata; Mammalia; Rodentia; Cricetidae.
AUGUCUUCCACCCCUCCCCGUCACAGGCGGCAUGCUUUCUACCUUCAACAUCACUUAAAUGGCAAGUGUCCUCCCAACGUGACGCACCUGUCACCUGUAGACUGCUCUGGCGGCACUUUGAAUGACUUGCACCUGAUUCCAGCAAGCCCCCAACUGUCUCAGGCAAUGGAAGUGGAUGGACUGAAUGACUCCAGCAAACAAGGCUAUUCCCAGGAAACCAAGCGCUUGAAGCGGACCCCACCUCCAGACCCUGUAGGCCUAGAGAUGGAGCACAGGUUUAUUGAUCAAGUGCUAUCCACUUGUCGGAAUGUAGAGCAAGCCAGAGCCUUCGUCCAGUAAUUGAUGGAACCAGAUGCAGAGAAUCACAACCAAGCACAGGCUGAGCUCCGGGAAUCCAGUCAAAGAAAGGGAAGAAGGAAUACAUGAGCAAGGGAGGUCAAUCAUGAUGGAGAAAUCUACAGAUACAGCUGAACCAAGUUUGUGGAAACUCAUACACUCUAUACCGACAGCUGCAGAGAUUCCAUGAAACCAAACUAG